This 1157-nucleotide ribosomal RNA is filed under the name Nocardioides terrae. RNAcentral describes it as "bacterial LSU rRNA". It matches the Rfam family "Bacterial large subunit ribosomal RNA", at positions 1 to 1086 of the family's 2925-position model. Lineage: Bacteria; Bacillati; Actinomycetota; Actinomycetes; Propionibacteriales; Nocardioidaceae. The record is from RNAcentral.
GUGUGACAAGCUACAAAGGGCACAUGGUGGAUGCCUUGGCAUCAAGAGCCGAUGAAGGACGUACGAGCCUGCGAUAAGCCCUGGGGAGUUGGCAACGGAGCGUUGAUCCGGGGGUGUCCGAAUGGGGGAACCCAGCACCAGUCAUGUGGUGUUACCUGCGCCUGAAUGUAUAGGGCGUGUGGAGGGAACGUCGGGAAGUGAAACAUCUCAGUACCGACAGGAAGAGAAAACAAGAGUGAUUCCGAGAGUAGUGGCGAGCGAAAUCGGAUGAGGCUAAACCGUCUGUGUGUGAUACCCGGCAGGGGUUGCGCAGGCGGGGUUGUGGGAGCUUUCGAACACUUCUGCCGGGGUGUUGCGGAGUAAGAAACUGACAGUGAGGUUGAACCGGUUGGAGAGCCGGGCCGUAGAGGGUGAUAGUCCCGUAGGCGUAAGCUGUCAGCUCCGGAGAGAUUUCCCAAGUAACACGCUACUCCUGGAAUGGCGUGUGAAUCUGGCAGGACCACCUGCUAAGCCUAAAUACUCCUUGAUGACCGAUAGCGGACAAGUACCGUGAGGGAAAGGUGAAAAGUACCCCUGGCGGGGAGUGAAAUAGUACCUGAAACCGUGUGCCUACAAUCCGUCAGAGCCCGGCUGCCCUCAUCCUUGUGGUGGGUGGUGUUGGGGUGAUGGCGUGCCUUUUGAAGAAUGAGCCUGCGAGUUAGCGGUGUGUGGCGAGGUUAACCCGUGUGGGGUAGCCGUAGCGAAAGCGAAUCCGAAUAGGGUGUUUUAGUCGCACGCUCUAGACCCGAAGCGGAGUGAUCUAUCCAUGGGCAGGUUGAAGCGACGGUAAGACGUCGUGGAGGACCGAACCCACUUCAGUUGAAAAUGGAGGGGAUGACCUGUGGAUAGGGGUGAAAGGCCAAUCAAACUCCGUGAUAGCUGGUUCUCCCCGAAAUGCAUUUAGGUGCAGCGUUGCGUGUUUCUUGCCUCAGGUAGAGCACUGGAUAGCCGAUGGGCCCGACCAGGUUACUGACGUUAGCCAAACUCCGAAUGGGGGUAAGUGAGAGCGCAGCAGUGAGACUGCGGGGGAUAAGCUCCGUAGUCGAGAGGGAAACAGCCCAGACCAUCAGCUAAGGCCCCUAAGCGGUGACUAAGUGGAAAAGGAUGUGGAGUCGCAG